CCUACGGGAGGCAGCAGUGAGGAAUAUUGGUCAAUGGACGAGAGUCUGAACCAGCCAAGUAGCGUGAAGGAUGACUGCCCUAUGGGUUGUAAACUUCUUUUAUAUGGGAAUAAAACGUUCCACGUGUGGGAUUUUGUAUGUACCAUAUGAAUAAGGAUCGGCUAACUCCGUGCCAGCAGCCGCGGUAAUACGGAGGAUCCGAGCGUUAUCCGGAUUUAUUGGGUUUAAAGGGAGCGUAGGUGGAUUGUUAAGUCAGUUGUGAAAGUUUGCGGCUCAACCGGAAAAUUGCAGUUGAAACUGGCAGUCUUGAGUACAGUAGAGGUGGGCGGAAGUCGGGGUGUAGCGGUGAAAUGCUUAGAUAUCACGAAGAACUCCGAUGGCGAAGGCAGUUCACUGGACUGCAACUGACACUGAGGCUCGAAAGUGUGGGUAUCAAACAGGAUUAGAUACCCCGGUAGUC
Molecule: ribosomal RNA, 460 nt
Filed under: uncultured bacterium
Lineage: Bacteria
Description: partial 16S ribosomal RNA
Rfam family: Bacterial small subunit ribosomal RNA
Source: RNAcentral